AGUCAACGCCGCAAGGCGUGGCAUACGGCUCAGUAACACGUAGUCAACAUGCCCAAAGGACGUGGAUAACCUCGGGAAACUGAGGAUAAACCGCGAUAGGCCAUGGUUUCUGGAAUGAGCCAUGGCCGAAAUCUAUACGGCCUUUGGAUUGGACUGCGGCCGAUCAGGCUGUUGGUGAGGUAAUGGCCCACCAAACCUGUUACCGGUACGGGCUUUGAGAGAAGGAGCCCGGAGAUGGGCACUGAGACAAGGGCCCAGGCCCUAUGGGGCGCAGCAGGCGCGAAACCUCUGCAAUAGGCGAAAGCCUGACAGGGUUACUCUGAGUGAUGCCCGCUAAGGGUAUCUUUUGGCACCUCUAAAAAUGGUGCAGAAUAAGGGGUGGGCAAGUCUGGUGUCAGCCGCCGCGGUAAUACCAGC
This 417-nucleotide ribosomal RNA is filed under the name uncultured archaeon. RNAcentral describes it as "bacterial SSU rRNA". It matches the Rfam family "Archaeal small subunit ribosomal RNA", at positions 56 to 480 of the family's 1478-position model. The record is from RNAcentral.